GUCUUCAUAGUUCAGUGGUUAGAGGCUAGAGCACUGGUCUUGUAAACUAGGGGUGGGGAGUUCGAUUCUCUCUGGAGGCA
This 80-nucleotide transfer RNA is filed under the name Acyrthosiphon pisum (pea aphid). It matches the Rfam family "tRNA". Rfam says of the family: Transfer RNA (tRNA) molecules are approximately 80 nucleotides in length. Their secondary structure includes four short double-helical elements and three loops (D, anti-codon, and T loops). Lineage: Eukaryota; Metazoa; Arthropoda; Insecta; Hemiptera; Aphididae. The record is from Rfam by way of RNAcentral.